Molecule: transfer RNA, 71 nt
Filed under: Microcondylaea bonellii
Lineage: Eukaryota; Metazoa; Mollusca; Bivalvia; Unionida; Unionidae
Description: Unio bonellii tRNA-Gln
Source: RNAcentral
UGGGGGUUAGUGUAAACUCAACGCACAUGUGAAUUUGGGUUACAAGGAGGAAAUAAUAAUAUCCGCUCUCA